RNAcentral lists this transfer RNA (83 nucleotides) under Merluccius polli (Benguela hake). It matches the Rfam family "tRNA". From Rfam's summary of the family: Transfer RNA (tRNA) molecules are approximately 80 nucleotides in length. Their secondary structure includes four short double-helical elements and three loops (D, anti-codon, and T loops). The record is from Rfam by way of RNAcentral. Lineage: Eukaryota; Metazoa; Chordata; Actinopteri; Gadiformes; Merlucciidae.
GUCAGGAUGGCCGAGCGGUUCUAAGGCGCUGCGUUUAGUCGCAGUCUCCCCUGGAGGCGUGGGUUCGAAUCCCACUUCUGACA